AGGCUCACCAAGGCGACGAUCCGUAGCUGGUCUGAGAGGAUGAUCAGCCACAUCGGGACUGAGACACGGCCCGAACUCCUACGGGAGGCAGCAGUGGGGAAUAUUGGACAAUGGGGGGAACCCUGAUCCAGCCAUGCCGCGUGUGUGAAGAAGGCCCUCGGGUUGUAAAGCACUUUCAGUGAGGAAGAACGCCUGGUGGUUAAUACCCAUCAGGAAAGACAUCACUCACAGAAGAAGCACCGGCUAACUCCGUGCCAGCAGCCGCGGUAAUACGGAGGGUGCGAGCGUUAAUCGGAAUUACUGGGCGUAAAGCGCGCGUAGGUGGCUUGAUAAGCCGGUUGUGAAAGCCCCGGGCUCAACCUGGGAACGGCAUCCGGAACUGUCAAGCUAGAGUGCAGGAGAGGAAGGUAGAAUUCCCGGUGUAGCGGUGAAAUGCGUAGAGAUCGGGAGNGAAUACCAGUGGCGAAGGCGGCCUUCUGGACUGACACUGACACUGAGGUGCGAAAGCGUGGGUAGCAAACAGGAUUAGAUACCCUGGUAGUCCACGCCGUAAACGAUGUCGACCAGCCGUUGGGUGCCUAGCGCACUUUGUGGCGAAGUUAACGCGAUAAGUCGACCGCCUGGGGAGUACGGCCGCAAGGUUAAAACUCAAAUGAAUUGACGGGGGCCCGCACAAGCGGUGGAGCAUGUGGUUUAAUUCGAUGCAACGCGAAGAACCUUACCUACUCUUGACAUCCUGCGAAUUUGGUAGAGAUACCUUAGUGCCUUCGGGAACGCAGAGACAGGUGCUGCAUGGCUGUCGUCAGCUCGUGUUGUGAAAUGUUGGGUUAAGUCCCGUAACGAGCGCAACCCUUGUCCUUAUUUGCCAGCGCGUAAUGGCGGGAACUCUAAGGAGACUGCCGGUGACAAACCGGAGGAAGGU
RNAcentral lists this ribosomal RNA (922 nucleotides) under uncultured Halomonas sp. RNAcentral's name for it is "bacterial SSU rRNA". It matches the Rfam family "Bacterial small subunit ribosomal RNA", at positions 261 to 1174 of the family's 1533-position model. The record is from RNAcentral. Lineage: Bacteria; Pseudomonadati; Pseudomonadota; Gammaproteobacteria; Oceanospirillales; Halomonadaceae.